This is a long non-coding RNA of Manis javanica (Malayan pangolin), 609 nucleotides long. RefSeq lists it as uncharacterized. The record is from RefSeq and is a predicted model, not a curated record. Lineage: Eukaryota; Metazoa; Chordata; Mammalia; Pholidota; Manidae.
GACAGCUCCAGGACUCAGUCUCUGCCCCACACUGAGGCGGGCACUUGGCAAGAGUUACGGCUCUCGAUCCUCACGUCCAUCCUGGGAGCACACACGGGAUACCCAGUGCACGUCCACCACUCCCUCCUCUGUGCCCGGCUGGGGCUGGGUCCAGGGCACACAGGUCUCUGCUCUGGGACAACUCAUCACGACCAGAGGGGAGAGGCGCCAUGGAUUAGUACUGCCUUCUGGAAUGCGGAGGAGAGCGUUCUCAGCACAGGGGAUGGAUGAGUGAAGCCCAAAGCUGAGCAUACUUGACAUUGAGACCCGCUGUUUUUUUCCUGUAAAUUGGAUCCCAAGCUUUUCUCAAAAGUAUCCUGAGAUGAUUCAAUGGGAAGAUGCAUAGAGAGGCUUGCUUAAUGCCUAGUACAUGGUCAGCAUCCAAGACCCAGGCAUUAUCAUUAGGAACUGGUACGACUCAGUGCCUUUCAGUCUGGACUGUGGAGUCGGGCUUGCCAGCUGUGUGACCUUAGUCCAAUUACUGCACCUCUCUGAACGUGUUUCCCCAUAGAAUUGUGAAAAUUACCUAAGAUAAUACAAGUCAAGUGGAUGGUGCCACUUGGAUGUGUA